UACGGAGGGUGCAAGCAUUGAUCGGAAUUACUGGGCGUAAAGGGCGCGUAGGUGGUUCGUUAAGUCGGAUGUGAAAUUUCGGGGCUCAACCCCGGAGCUGCAUCGGAAACUGGCGAACUAGAGUUCAGUUAGGGAAAACGGAAUUCCACGUGUAGCGGUGAAAUGCGUAGAUAUGUGGAAGAACACCGGUGGUGAAGACGGUUUUCUAGGCUGAUACUGACACUGAGGCGCGAAAGCUAGGGGAGCAAACAGG
This 253-nucleotide ribosomal RNA is filed under the name uncultured bacterium. Its description in RNAcentral is "partial 16S ribosomal RNA". It matches the Rfam family "Bacterial small subunit ribosomal RNA", at positions 524 to 776 of the family's 1533-position model. The record is from RNAcentral.